UACGUAGGGGGCAAGCGUUGUCCGGAAUGACUGGGCGUAAAGGGCGUGUAGGCGGCGAUAUAAGUCUGGAGUGAAAGUCCUGCUUUCAAGGGAGGAAUUGCUUUGGAUACUGUACCGCUUGAGUGCAGAAGAGGUAAGUGGAAUUCCCAGUGUAGCGGUGAAAUGCGUAGAGAUUGGGAGGAACACCAGUGGCGAAGGCGACUUACUGGGCUGUAACUGACGCUGAGGCGCGAAAGCGUGGGGAGCGAAC
RNAcentral lists this ribosomal RNA (250 nucleotides) under uncultured prokaryote. Its description in RNAcentral is "partial 16S ribosomal RNA". It matches the Rfam family "Bacterial small subunit ribosomal RNA", at positions 524 to 773 of the family's 1533-position model. The record is from RNAcentral.